UACGAAGGGGGCUAGCGUUGCUCGGAAUCACUGGGCGUAAAGGGUGCGUAGGCGGCCCUGUAAGUCCGUUGUGAAAGUCAAAGGCUCAACCUUUGAAUGCCGAUGGAUACUGCAGGGCUAGAGUCCGGAAGAGGCGAGUGGAAUUCCUGGUGUAGCGGUGGAAUGCGCAGAUAUCAGGAGGAACACCAAUAGCGAAGGCAGCUCGCUGGGACGGUACUGACGCUAAGGUGCGAAAGCGUGGGGAGCGAACAGG
This 253-nucleotide ribosomal RNA is filed under the name uncultured bacterium. Its description in RNAcentral is "partial 16S ribosomal RNA". It matches the Rfam family "Bacterial small subunit ribosomal RNA", at positions 524 to 776 of the family's 1533-position model. The record is from RNAcentral.